RNAcentral lists this non-coding RNA (30 nucleotides) under Homo sapiens (human). Lineage: Eukaryota; Metazoa; Chordata; Mammalia; Primates; Hominidae. The record is from RNAcentral.
UGCCAAAGUUACAGCAACUGGGGUCAGGUC